UGGGGAAUCUUGCACAAUGGGGGCAACCCUGAUGCAGCGACGCCGCGUGAGCGAUGAAGCCCUUCGGGGCGUAAAGCCCUUUCGACCGGAACGAUAGUGACGGUACCGGGAGAAGAAGCUGCGGCUAACUACGUGCCAGCAGCCGCGGUAAUACGUAGGCAGCAAGCGUUGUUCGGAGUUACUGGGCGUAAAGAGUGCGUAGGCGGUUUUCUAAGUUCGGUGUGAAAUCUCCCGGCUUAACUGGGAGGGUGCGCCGAAGACUGGGAAGCUGGAGUGUGGGAAAGUCAGGCGGAAUUCCUGGUGUAGCGGUGAAAUGCGUAGAUAUCAGAAGGAACACCGGCGGUGUAGACGGCUUGCUAGACCAUAACUGACGCUGAGGCACGAAAGCGUGGGU
RNAcentral lists this ribosomal RNA (394 nucleotides) under uncultured bacterium. RNAcentral describes it as "bacterial SSU rRNA". It matches the Rfam family "Bacterial small subunit ribosomal RNA", at positions 355 to 766 of the family's 1533-position model. The record is from RNAcentral.